Molecule: non-coding RNA, 647 nt
Organism: Python bivittatus (Burmese python)
Lineage: Eukaryota; Metazoa; Chordata; Lepidosauria; Squamata; Pythonidae
Source: RefSeq, a predicted model, not a curated record
GGGAGCUGCUCUGUCGGAACUCUUUCUGCCCCCGCAAAAGGGCAGCGAGUUCACUCGCCCUGCGUGCUCCUCGCCCUUCCCUCCCCUCCAGGAUGUGAGCGUGGCUGAGGGAAUGAGGUUAAACUCGCUGGGCCGGUCGAUGCCUGCAGGGCCCGGAACCUCAUUCCGUAGCGUUGAGCAGGCCAGGCCCGGGAGCCACAGCCUCUUUCCAGUUGGCUGGCCUCGUGCCGCGCAAGACGGUUGGCAAUGAGUGGGUAAACUACAACUGAACUGAGUUGGCACAGGAGAGGCAGAGAAACAGGAUUUGUUUUGAAAAAAACUUUUCCAAACUAUUCAGAAUAAAAGACUAACACUAUUUAGAUCUACUUUCUUCUCCAGUAGGUGUCCUAAUUUGUGGCUUGUCAGCUAAGAAAUAGCUGUAUCUUCUCUGGAUUUUAUCACUUUAAAAACCAGUGUCAGAAGCCAGUUGUAUUGACACACCUCAUCAAGAGACUUGAUGGCAAAGACAAACAAGAACGUAUGCUGUGACAUUUCCAAAUCAGACAUUGUCUGCUUCUGUUCAAGGGCCCAAGGGAAUUCUAUAGAAGGACUGGGAAUUUUCACUUUCUGCAUACAAAACCCAACUCCUGCAUAACCAUUAAAUGCUA